AUUGAACGCUGGCGGCAUGCCUUACACAUGCAAGUCGAACGGCAGCACGGGAGCAAUCCUGGUGGCGAGUGGCGAACGGGUGAGUAAUAUAUCGGAACGUGCCCAGUCGUGGGGGAUAACGUAGCGAAAGCUACGCUAAUACAGCAUACGAUCUAUGGAUGAAAGCGGGGGAUCGCAAGACCUCGCGCGAUUGGAGCGGCCGAUAUCAGAUUAGGUAGUUGGUGAGGUAAAGGCUCACCAAGCCGACGAUCUGUAGCUGGUCUGAGAGGACGACCAGCCACACUGGGACUGAGACACGGCCCAGACUCCGACGGGAGGCAGCAGUGGGGAAUUUUGGCCAAUGGGCGCAAGCCUGAUCCAGCAAUGCCGCGUGCAGGAUGAAGGCCUUCGGGUUGUAAUCUGCUUUUGUACGGAACGAAACGGUGAGCUCUAAUACAGUUUGCUAAUGACGGUACCGUAAGAAUAAGCACCGGCUAACUACGUGCCAGCCGCCGCAGUAA
This 500-nucleotide ribosomal RNA is filed under the name uncultured bacterium. RNAcentral describes it as "partial 16S ribosomal RNA". It matches the Rfam family "Bacterial small subunit ribosomal RNA", at positions 30 to 523 of the family's 1533-position model. The record is from RNAcentral.